CAAGGCUUGACAUAUACGAGAACGCUCUAGAAAUAGAGAACUCUUUGGACACUCGUAAACAGGUGGUGCAUGGUUGUCGUCAGCUCGUGUCGUGAGAUGUUGGGUUAAGUCCCGCAACGAGCGCAACCCUCGUUCUAUGUUGCCAGCACGUAAUGGUGGGAACUCAUGGGAUACUGCCGGGGUCAACUCGGAGGAAGGUGGGGAUGACG
This 209-nucleotide ribosomal RNA is filed under the name uncultured Leifsonia sp. RNAcentral describes it as "partial 16S ribosomal RNA". It matches the Rfam family "Bacterial small subunit ribosomal RNA", at positions 975 to 1184 of the family's 1533-position model. Lineage: Bacteria; Bacillati; Actinomycetota; Actinomycetes; Micrococcales; Microbacteriaceae. The record is from RNAcentral.